GAGGGGAAUAAGCGAGGGCAGGAGGACCGGGAGGUACAUUUCACUGGGGCCACUGAUGUUAUAAUUCACCACAACCUCACUUUCUAGUCUUUCUUGGGAAGUCACCCAAACACUUCACGGAACAGGAUAGCAGCCAGGCCAGGCGUUUGUGUUCACUUGCUCUCUUUCCUCUGGCACCCUGUGCUGCUCGCCCUGCCACCGCCUGGGCUUGGCGGCCUGGGGUGUGACUUGGUGAGGUUACACAGACCACGCAGGCUCCGCUGCUCUGUGCCAGUGGCGGUUUCUGCCCCUGAGUGACCACAGCCUGUAGGAGGAGACGCAGAGGCCUGGCGGGACUCUGAGGAUGUAAAUGACAUCCAGAAACCCAGUGCAAAAGAGCUUCAACAAAAAUGGGGUUGAUUUGGCACAAAACUGAGAAGGCCUCUGGAACAGUUCGGCAGAGUCCCUUCCCUCUAGUGCAUUCACCCUUCGGGGACGAGGGAAAGAGAUGGAGUAAACAUCCAACGGGCCUGCCUUCCUGCCUCAGAGGAUCAAAACUCCUGAUUCCUGCCGGCCCC
This 557-nucleotide long non-coding RNA is filed under the name Equus caballus (horse). RNAcentral's name for it is "lncRNA (ENSECAG00000045899.1)". The record is from RNAcentral. Lineage: Eukaryota; Metazoa; Chordata; Mammalia; Perissodactyla; Equidae.